RNAcentral lists this ribosomal RNA (1089 nucleotides) under Coniothyrium pyrinum. RNAcentral describes it as "SSU rRNA". It matches the Rfam family "Eukaryotic small subunit ribosomal RNA", at positions 41 to 1143 of the family's 1831-position model. Lineage: Eukaryota; Fungi; Ascomycota; Dothideomycetes; Pleosporales; Coniothyriaceae. The record is from RNAcentral.
AGAUAGCCUGCAUGUCUAAGUAUAGCAAUUAUACCGUGAAACUGCGAAUGGCUCAUUAAAUCAGUUAUCGUUUAUUUGAUAGUACCUUACUACUUGGAUAACCGUGGUAAUUCUAGAGCUAAUACAUGCUGAAAACCCCAACUUCGGGAGGGGUGUAUUUAUUAGAUAAAAAACCAACGCCCUUCGGGGCUUCUUGGUGAUUCAUGAUAACUUCACGGAUCGCAUGGCCUUGCGCCGGCGACGGUUCAUUCAAAUUUCUGCCCUAUCAACUUUCGAUGGUAAGGUAUUGGCUUACCAUGGUUUCAACGGGUAACGGGGAAUUAGGGUUCGAUUCCGGAGAGGGAGCCUGAGAAACGGCUACCACAUCCAAGGAAGGCAGCAGGCGCGCAAAUUACCCAAUCCCGACACGGGGAGGUAGUGACAAUAAAUACUGAUACAGGGCUCUUUUGGGUCUUGUAAUUGGAAUGAGUACAAUUUAAACCUCUUAACGAGGAACAAUUGGAGGGCAAGUCUGGUGCCAGCAGCCGCGGUAAUUCCAGCUCCAAUAGCGUAUAUUAAAGUUGUUGCAGUUAAAAAGCUCGUAGUUGAAACUUGGGCCUGGCUGGCAGGUCCGCCUCACCGCGUGUACUUGUCCGGCCGGGCCUUUCCUUCUGGAGAACCUCAUGCCCUUCACUGGGUGUGUUGGGGAACCAGGACUUUUACUUUGAAAAAAUUAGAGUGUUCAAAGCAGGCCUUUGCUCGAAUACGUUAGCAUGGAAUAAUAGAAUAGGACGUGCGGUCCUAUUUUGUUGGUUUCUAGGACCGCCGUAAUGAUUAAUAGGGACAGUCGGGGGCAUCAGUAUUCAAUUGUCAGAGGUGAAAUUCUUGGAUUUAUUGAAGACUAACUACUGCGAAAGCAUUUGCCAAGGAUGUUUUCAUUAAUCAGUGAACGAAAGUUAGGGGAUCGAAGACGAUCAGAUACCGUCGUAGUCUUAACCGUAAACUAUGCCGACUAGGGAUCGGGCGAUGUUCUUUUUCUGACUCGCUCGGCACCUUACGAGAAAUCAAAGUUUUUGGGUCUGGGGGGAGUAUGGUCGCAAGGCUGAAUAG